AUUGAACGCUGGCGGCAGGCCUAACACAUGCAAGUCGAACGGCAGCACAGAAGAGCUUGCUCUUUGGGUGGCGAGUGGCGGACGGGUGAGUAAUGUCUGGGAAACUGCCCGAUGGAGGGGGAUAACUACUGGAAACGGUAGCUAAUACCGCAUAACGUCGCAAGACCAAAGUGGGGGACCUUCGGGCCUCACACCAUCGGAUGUGCCCAGAUGGGAUUAGCUAGUAGGUGGGGUAAUGGCUCACCUAGGCGACGAUCCCUAGCAGGUCUGAGAGGAUGACCAGCCACACUGGAACUGAGACACGGUCCAGACUCCUACGGGAGGCAGCAGUGGGGAAUAUUGCACAAUGGGCGCAAGCCUGAUGCAGCCAUGCCGCGUGUAUGAAGAAGGCCUUCGGGUUGUAAAGUACUUUCAGCGGGGAGGAAGGCGGUGAGGUUAAUAACCUUGCCGAUUGACGUUACCCGCAGAAGAAGCACCGGCUAACUCCGUGCCAGCCGCCGCAGUAA
This 506-nucleotide ribosomal RNA is filed under the name uncultured bacterium. RNAcentral's name for it is "partial 16S ribosomal RNA". It matches the Rfam family "Bacterial small subunit ribosomal RNA", at positions 30 to 523 of the family's 1533-position model. The record is from RNAcentral.